UACGUAGGUGACAAGCGUUUGUCCGGAUUUACUGGGCGUAAAGAGCGCGCAGGCGGUCGAUCAAGUCGAGUGUGAAAGCCCCCGGCUCAACUGGGGAGGGUCAUUCGAUACUGAUCGACUCGAAGGCAGGAGAGGGUAGUGGAAUUCCCCGGUGUAGUGGUGAAAUGCGUAGAUAUCGGGAGGAACACCAGUGGCGAAGGCGACUACCUGGCCUGUUCUUGACGCUGAGGCGCGAAAGCUAGGGGAGCAAACGGG
This 255-nucleotide ribosomal RNA is filed under the name uncultured bacterium. RNAcentral describes it as "partial 16S ribosomal RNA". It matches the Rfam family "Bacterial small subunit ribosomal RNA", at positions 524 to 776 of the family's 1533-position model. The record is from RNAcentral.